CUAAUGUGCGCACCGGGAGGAGAGUGACGGCGUAGGAUAAGAUCGGAAUAGAAACAAACAAAACAUAAAA
This 70-nucleotide small RNA is filed under the name Arabidopsis thaliana (thale cress). RNAcentral's name for it is "ATSL242840". Lineage: Eukaryota; Viridiplantae; Streptophyta; Magnoliopsida; Brassicales; Brassicaceae. The record is from RNAcentral.